This 460-nucleotide ribosomal RNA is filed under the name uncultured bacterium. RNAcentral describes it as "partial 16S ribosomal RNA". It matches the Rfam family "Bacterial small subunit ribosomal RNA", at positions 338 to 795 of the family's 1533-position model. The record is from RNAcentral.
CCUACGGGUGGCAGCAGUGAGGAAUAUUGGUCAAUGGGCGCUAGCCUGAACCAGCCAUGCCGCGUGCAGGAUGACUGCCCUAUGAGUUGUAAACUUCUUUUGUAUGGGAGUAAAAUGCAGUAUGUAUACUGCUUUGCAUGUACCUUAUGAAUAAGGAUCGGCUAACUCCGUGCCAGCAGCCGCGGUAAUACGGAGGAUGCGAGCGUUAUCCGGAUUCAUUGGGUUUAAAGGGUGCGUAGGUUGUUUUUUAAGUUAGCGGUGAAAGUUCGUGGCUCAACAUUAGGAUUGCCGUUGAAACUGGAAGACUAGAGAGUGUAUGAGGUAGGCGGAAUGUGUGGUGUAGCGGUGAAAUGCAUAGAUAUUACGCAGAACUCCGAUUGCGAAGGCAGCUUACUAGGCCAUAACUGACACUGAAGCACGAAAGCGUGGGGAUCAAACAGGAUUAGAUACCCUAGUAGUC